AGCAGCCGCGGUAAUUCCAGCUCCAAUAGCGUAUAUUAAAGUUGUUGCAGUUAAAAGCUCGUAGUUGAAUUUCGGGACCAAUUUGUUGGUCGUGCCUCGGUACGUACUGGUAUUAUUGGUUUCUCCCUUCUGAAGAAUCUCGAUGCCAUUAAUUUGGUGUCGUGGGGAAUCAGGACUGUUACUUUGAAAAAUUAGAGUGUUUAAAGCAGGCAUACGCUUGAAUACAUUAGCAUGGAAUAAUGAAAUAGGACGUUUGAUUCUAUUUUGUUGGUUUCUAGGAUCGACGUAAUGAUUAAUAGGGAUAGUUGGGGGCAUUAGUAUUCAAUUGUCAGAGGUGAAAUUCUUGGAUUUAUUGAAGACUAACUACUGCGAAAGCAUUUGCCAAGGAUGUUUUCAUUAAUCAAGAACGAAAGUUAGGGAUCGAAGACGAUCAGAUACCGUCGUAGUCUU
This 450-nucleotide ribosomal RNA is filed under the name uncultured Glomeromycotina. RNAcentral's name for it is "SSU rRNA". It matches the Rfam family "Eukaryotic small subunit ribosomal RNA", at positions 569 to 1027 of the family's 1831-position model. The record is from RNAcentral. Lineage: Eukaryota; Fungi; Glomeromycota.